AGCGAACGCUGGCGGCGUGCUUAACACAUGCAAGUCGAACGUGAAAUGUAGCAAUACAGAGUAAAGUGGCGUACGGGUGAGUAACACGUGGGUAAUCUACCUUAGAAUCUGGAAUAACCGGCCGAAAGGCUGGCUAAUACUGGAUAGUUCAAGUGCAUCGUAGAGGUGCGAUUGGGAAAGGAGCUCGCAAGAGCCUUCGUUCUAAGAUGAGCCCGCGUCUGAUAGCUAGUUGGUGAGGUAAUGGCUCACCAAGGCUGAGAUCAGUAGCUGGUCUGAGAGGAUGAUCAGCCACACUGGAACUGAAACACGGUCCAGACUCCUACGGGAGGCAGCAGUGGGAAUCUUGCGCAAUGGACGAAAGUCUGACGCAGCCACGCCGCGUGAGUGAAGAAGGCCUU
This 398-nucleotide ribosomal RNA is filed under the name uncultured bacterium. RNAcentral's name for it is "bacterial SSU rRNA". It matches the Rfam family "Bacterial small subunit ribosomal RNA", at positions 29 to 418 of the family's 1533-position model. The record is from RNAcentral.